Long non-coding RNA from Symphalangus syndactylus (siamang), 6746 nucleotides. RefSeq lists it as uncharacterized. The record is from RefSeq and is a predicted model, not a curated record. NCBI's taxonomy places the organism in Eukaryota, Metazoa, Chordata, Mammalia, Primates, Hylobatidae.
CAACAGGCUAAUGGUAACUUUCUUUCUGCCCAAAAGAGCUAUUGACUUCUGUCUUUUUCUUCAGGAAAUUCUGUAACAGCAAUCUCAGUUUUGGGAAAGAUAGAUCGAAGGAAAAGGGGAUCUACUAAUUUUAAAGACGAAAGUUAUUUGGUGCACAAUGCAUUGUGGGUAUGCAAAUAAAGUCUCAGCAAUCAAGCUCCAGUUUUGACAAACUGGUGAAGCCUUAGGGACUCCUCAAAAAAAGGUUUUCUGUUGGUUUUGUUUUGUCUUAAAUUUUUUAUUUUUUAUUUUAUUUUUUUUUUUUUUUUUUGAGACGGAGUCUUGCUCUGUCGCCCAGGCUGGAGUGCAGUGGCGCGAUCACGGCUCACUGCAAGCUCCACCUCCCAGGUUCACACCAUUCUCCUGCCUCAGCCUCUCCGAGUAGCUGGGACUACAGGCGCCCGCCACCACGCCCGGCUAAUUUUUUGUAUUUUUAGUAGAGACGGGGUUUCACAGUGGUCUCGAUCUCCUGACCUCGUGAUCCGCCCGCCUCGGCCUCCCAAAGUGCUGGGAUUACAAGCGUGAGCCACCGCGCCCAGCCUAUUUUUUAUUUUUAAUGUUUGUGUGUACAUAGUAUGUGUAUGUAUGGGUUACAUGACAAGAGAAAGGUUUUGUUUGUUUGUUUGAGAUAGAGUCUUGCUCUUGUCACCCAGGCUGGAGUGCUGUGGUGCGAUCUCGGCUCACUGCAACCUCCGCCUGCCGGGUUCAAGCAAUUCUCCUGCCUCAGCCUCCCGAGUAGCUGGGAUUACAGGUAUGGGCCACCAUGCCCGGCUAAUUUUUGUAUUUUUAGUAGAGACGGGGUUUCACCAUGUUGGCCAGGCUGGUCUCGAACUCCUGACUUCAGGUGAUCUGCCCGCCUCGGCCUCCCAAAGUGCUGGAAUUACAGGCGUGAGCCACCGCGCCCAGCCCCUGCGAAUGCUGUGUAGUUGUCUCUUCCUAAGGUUUUAUUUUGAGAGGAGCCCCAGCCUUUCUCACGAGCUCACUUGCCCAGUGUUGCCAUCUCCCGGGACAGCCACAGAGCAGUCACCCUGGUCCCUGGCCCGGGUUUUCAGAGCUCUCCUCCACGUGUGUGUUAGUCAGGGUUCUCUAGAGGGACAGGAAUAAUAGGAUCUAUGUAUAUAUGAGAGGGACUUUAUUAAGGAGAAUUUGACUCACACGAUCACAAGGUCAAGUCCCAUGUUAGGCUGCCUGCAAGUUGAGGAGCAAGGAAGCCAGCAGUGGCUCAGUCCAGGUCCCAAAACCUCAAAAGUAGGGAAGCUGACAGUGCAGCCUUCAAUCUGUGGCCGAAGGCCUGAGAGCCCCCAACAAACCACUGGUGUAAGUCCAGGAGUCCAAAAGCCGAAGAACUUGGAGUCUGAUGUUCAAGGGCAGGAAGCCUCCAGCACGGGAGAAAGAUGAAGCCCGGAGGACCCAGCAAGUCGGCUUUUUCCACCUUCUUCUGCCUGCUUUUUCUAGCUGUGCUGGCAGCCGACUGGAUGGUGUCCCCUACACUGUGAGUGGGUCUUCCUGUCCAGUCCAUUCUGGCCACACCCAGAAACACCCAGAAACAAUACUUUGCAUCCUUUGAUGCAAUCAAGUUGACACUUUUUUUUUUUUUUUUUUGAGAUGAAGUUUCUCUCUGUCACCCAGGCUAGAGUGCAAUGGCACGAUCUCGGCUCAUAGCAACCUCCGUCUUCUAGGUUCGAGUGAUUCUCUUGCCUCAGCUUCCCAAGUAGCUGGGAUUACAGGCACCUGCCACCACACCCGGCUAAUUUUUUUGUAUUUUUAGUAGAGGCGGGGUUUCACCAUGUUGGCCAGGCUGGUCUCGAACUCCUGACCUCAAGUGAUCCACCCGUCUCAGCCUCCCAAAGUGCUGGGAUUACAGGCGUGGGCCUGUAAUCCCAGUAACAGCUUACUAUUAACCAUCACAAGCUGUUAGCAGAGGUAAUGAUUAACCCACCACUGGCUGGGGGUACAUCCUGCAAGGGUGCCACCACCCAACUCCAUGAGUGACCUCUCUUUGACCUUUAGAAGUCACUGUUUUUCACCGGGUCUCAAUUUGCACUUUGUAAAACAUGGUGAGAAAACCGUUCUUUGGUUUUCAGGGAAGCUGUAGAUUGGCUAAAAUUAUGACAGUAAUGAGAGAAGAAGGGAUAUGUCCAUGGGAGGAAUGAUGAUCUCUAAUGUCACUGUUGCCAUGAAUUAGGGCCGGCCGGAGCCCACCCUUUGUCCCUAGAGGUCAGUGAUGUGGGCAAAGAAAUCCAAUUCUUGGGUGGGUGCAGUGGCUCACACCUGUAAUCCAACACUUUGGGAGGCCGAGGCGGGAGGAUCUUGAGCCCAGGAGUUUGAGGCCAGCCCGGGCAACAUGGCGAGACCCCAUCUCUACAGAACAUUUUUAAAAAAUUAGCCGGAUGUGGUGGCGUGCACCUGUGGUCCCAGCUACUCAGGAGGCUGAGGUGGGAGGAUCACUUGAGCCCAAGAGCUCGAGGCUGCAGUGAGCCAUGAUUGUACCACUGCACUCCAGCCUGGGAGACAGAGGGAGACCCUGUUUCAAAAUAAAGGCUCCCUGGCUUCCCUACACCCACCCACCUCUGUGCAUUCAGUCACUCAGGCUCUCCACUGCUUAGCUUGGCUGACUCCCGUCAUCUUUCAGUUUCCAGAUUGGAGGUUUCACCUUCCUCCAGGAAGACCUCCCUGACUUUCAAGGGGAGGUUAGAUGUGCCUGCCCCAUAGUCCCGCAGCUCUGACUGCAGUAUGAUCAUCCGCUUUCUUGUCUGUAGGGUCCAGCCCUAUGGGGCUUGGCGAGUGUUCUCCCCAUGUGCGGAGACAGAGAAAUAAAGACAGAACUUCAAAGAGGAACCAGGAGUAUGGGAGGAACAUGAAAGUGGACAAGGAGUGUGACCGUGGAAGCACAGCACCACAGAGAGGGGUUUAGGCCUCCGGAUGACUGCGGGCAGGAAUGGAUAAUAUCCAACCUCCCACAAGAAGCUGGUGGAGCAGAGUGUUCCCCGACUCCUCCAGGGAAAGGGAGACUCCCUUUCACAGUCGGCUAAGUAACAGGUGCCUUCCCAGGCACUGGUGUUACCACCUGACCAAGAAGCCCUCAAGCGGCCCUUAUGCAAGCGUGACAGAGGGCUCACCUCUUGCCUUCUUGGUCACUUCUCACAAUGUCCCUUCAGCACCUGACCCUCUACCCGCCGGUUAUUCCUUGGUUAUACAACAAAGUAAUAUUAAAAGUUAAUGAUUAAUAAUGUUUAUACUAAUGAUUUAUAAUGUCCAUGAUCAUCUCUAUAUCUAAUUUGUAUUAUAACUAUUCUCAUUCUAACUAUUUUGUUUAUUAUACUGAAACAGUUUGUGCCUUCAGUCUCUUGCCUCGGCACCUGGGUAAUCCUCCGUCCACACUCGUCUGUCUCUCCUGCAGGCUGCAUUCGCUGAGGUGUGUCUGUGUUGUCUGGAAGUAAGUGCCGUCCACCAACGUCCUGCCUGCUCUUCAGAGGCUCCUCAAGCCUUCCCUGCCCAGAGAGAUUCCGGGAUGAAAAGGAAAAACGUCCCUGCAUGGCAGAAAUUGAUGCUGCUUCUGGAAACGUGGGGCAGGUGGCUGUUUCCAAAAUGUGUCUGCCAUCACUUGGGCUAGUAGUGGGAGCAUCUAGUUUUGGAACUGGACAGACUUGGGAACGCAUCCCUGAAUCCACCAAUUAUGUGACUUUGGCUUAAUGACUUACUGUCUGGGAGCCUCACUUUCCUCAUCUGUAAAACAGGACGGACACUCGCCUUGCAGGAAUACUGGAGGUCUGUACUGCACUGCCAACAUCUAUUCUCCCUCAUCCGUGACAAGAGUACCCACAAUUUCCUCUGGGAAGCUGCUCCUCUCCAAUCAGUGUCUGUUCAGUGGUUGGAGGUUGACCCUACCCCAGCUCUGAGAUGGCCCGGCCAGCCUACCCUAAUUAGCAUAUCCCUUUCACCUUGGCCACAGUGACUGACUUAGGGCUGGGGCUGUGCAGAGGUGAGCCUCAGCUUUUUGGGUAGGAAUACCAGGACUUGGAUUUCACUGGGUUUAAUGCUAGGAGGGCGUCAAGCUUGUGAUAACUGUGGCCAUUUUUGUUACCAGAAGGGUAGCCAGUCUGAGGAUGGAAGCCAAUCUAUAGGAGACAGAGCUAAGAGAUACUAAUACAUCCCUAAGUCACUUGAGUCCUGGAUCAAACCAUUCCUGAAGCUCCUACUAAGCUACACUGUUAUGUGAACCAAUACUCUUCCUUUUGUUUAACCAGUUUUUGGUUUUUUGGGGUUUUUUUGUUUGUUUUUGUUUUGUUUUGAUAUAGGAUCUUACCCUGUCACAUAGGCUGAAGUACAGUGGUAUGAUCUUGGCUCACUGCAACCUCUACCUCCUCGGCUCAAGCGAUCCUCCCACCUUAGCCUCCCAAGUAACUGGAAUCACAGGUGCACGCCACCACCAUGCUCAGCUAACUUUUAAAAUUUUCUGUAGAGACAAGGUCUCACUAUAUCACUCAGGCUGGUCUCGAAGUCUUGGGCUCAAGAGAUCCUCCUGUCUCAGCCUCCCAAAGUGCUGGGAUUAUAGGUGUGAGCCACUGUGCUCGGUCAGAAGCUGGUUACUCCUGCACCAGAAAUACCCUAAGAUUUAUUUGGCCAGGCACGGUGGCUCAUGCCUAUAAUCCCAGCAGUUUGGGAGGCUGAGGUGGGCGGAUCGCUUGAGCUCAGGAGUUUGAGACCAGCCUGGGCAACAUGGUGAAACCCCGUCUCUACAAGAUAUACAAAAAAAGUUAGCCAGGCAUGGUGGCUUGUGCCUAUAGUCCCAGCUACUCAGGAGGCUGAGGUGGGAGGGUUGCUUGAGCCCAUAAGGCUGAGGCCGCAGUGAGCUGUGAUUGCACCACUGCACCCCAGCCUGGGCGACAGAGUGAGACCUUGUCUAAAAAAAAAAAAAAGAAGCAUCCACGGUCCUACGACUCUGUAUUCUUGGUUUGUUAUCACCAGAGAAGAGUUCCAUUUCUCCGCUGGAAGGAUAUGCCCGUAUUGGUCUGUUCCGGCUGCUCUAACAAUAUACCAUAGACCAGGCAGCUUCAAAACAGCAGAAAUUGAUUUCUCCCAGUUCCAGAGGCUGAAGUUCCAAAUCACUGUGCCAGCAUGGGUCCUAGCGGGGCCCCUCUUUCCGGUUGCAGACUGCUGUCUUCUCAUUGCAUUCUCAUAUGGCGGAAAGAGGGUGAGGCAGCUAUCCAAUUCAUGAGGACUGUACCCUCAUGACCUAAGAACCCCCCCAAAAGCCACCUCCUAAUCCUAUCACAUUGGCAGUUAGGACAUCAAUGCAGGGGCCUGGUAUGGUGGCUCACACGUGUCGUCCCAGCACUCUGGGAGGCUGAGGCAGGUGGAUCACUUGAGCUCAGGAGCUUGAAACCAGCCUGGGCAACAUGGCAAAGCCCCAUCUCUACAAAAAAUACAAAAACCGGCCAGGUGUGGUAGUGCACACCCGUAGUCCCAGCUACUUGGGGAGCCGAGAUAGGAGGAUUGCCUGGGCCCAGGAGGUUGAGGCUACAGUGAGCCAUGUUUACGUCACUGCACUCCAGCCUGGGUGCACUCACAGUUCUCAAAAAAAAAAAAAAAAAAGAUUUCAACAUAGCAAUUUGAGGAGGGGACACAAUUCAGCCCAUGUCAAUGGCCACGGAGAAUCCCACUUCCUCCUGGAAAAAUCGUCCAGAGGAGCCACAGGCCUCUUGGUUAGUGCCUUAGCCUGGGUCUCCUAUCCGGGGCUUGAUCUCGUGGGGACCUUCUGUUUCAGUCCAUGUCAUGUUGCUAUAACAGAAUACCUGGGGCUGGGUAAUUUAUAAAGAAAAGAGGUUUUUUUUUUUUUUUUUUUUUGAGGCACAGUGUCGCUCUGUCGCCAGGCUAGAGUGCAGUGGCAUGAUCUUGGCUCACUGCAACCUUUGACUCCCUGGUUCAAGCGAUUCUUCUGCCUCAGUCUCCCGUGUAGCUGGGAUUACAGGCAUGUGCCACCAUACUCAGCUAAUUUUUGUUUUUUUGUUUUUGUUUUGUUUUGAGACGGAGUCUUGCUCUGUCGCCCAGGCUGGAGUGCAGUGGCGCAAUCUUGGUUCACUGCAAGCUCCACCUCCCGGGUUCACGCCAUUCUCCUGCCUCAGCCUCCCGAGUAGCUGGGACUACAGGCGCCUGCCACCAUGCCCGGCUGAUUUUUUUGUAUUUUUAGUAGAGAUGCGGUUUCACCAUGUUGGCCAGGAUGGUCUUGAUCUCCUGACCUCGUGAUCCACCCGCCUCGGCCUCCCAAAGUACUGGGAUUACAGGCGUGAGCUACCAUUCCCAGUCAAGAAAAGAGGUUUAUUUACCUCACGGCUCUGCAUGCUGAGAAGUUUGAGGGCAUGGUGCCAGCAUCUGCCUGGCCUCCUAGCAUGGUGGAGAAGGUUGAAGGGGAAGCAGACACGUGUAAAGAAGCAAAACCCGAGGGGCUUCCUGGUUUUAUAACAACCUGCUCUCUUGGGAACUAAUCCAUUCCCACAAGAGGAAGAACUCACUUACUCCUGAGAGAAGGCACCAAGCCAUCCAUGAGGGAUCCACUCUCCUGACCCAAACACCUCCCACAAAGCCCCACCUCCCAACAUUGCCACACUGAGGGCCAAAUGUCAACAAACCAUAUCCAAACCGUAGCACCUUCUGAGUAGCCGAAUAAAAUAUGCCUACGAAUUGUCCACGCCAGGCACAGAAGAGGA